GAUAGUAGUAAGCAGAAUAACAGGCAGGUAAACUGGCUGGGAAAGCAGACUGAGGGACUGACAUGGGAGACACAGGACUACUAUGAGGAGCUGAACAGCAAAUGAGACACAGGUGGAAACGAUUAAGGCAGAGCAGAUAAUCACAGAGAUGGGAAAACAAAGGACCAAAGCUACACAAAGAAAGUGAUUACUGAAGGAAGAAUGAAAAUGAUUACAAAAGAACAACAUGAAACUGACACAACACACAGUUAGUAUUCACUAAUUACCAGAACUCACCUGGUUCCUCGACACUGCUCCGUUUGGACUUGCCUACUCACUAAUCACCUACCUGCCUGCCCUCCUGGACUGGGGAGCAUAAUCCGUUGGUUUUCCUUGGCUCAGAAACCCCUCAAACCCCUCUUGAUACCUCCUCCUGAGAAUGUCAGCUCACAAUGCUUUCCCUCCCUGUGACCCUGGACUCUUGUUCUGACCUCUCCCAUAUUAGCUGGUUUCUCAUAGUCAGUUGUUUCAAUAAAGUGUUUGC
Oreochromis aureus is the source of this 523-nucleotide long non-coding RNA. RefSeq lists it as uncharacterized. NCBI's taxonomy places the organism in Eukaryota, Metazoa, Chordata, Actinopteri, Cichliformes, Cichlidae. The record is from RefSeq and is a predicted model, not a curated record. The transcript is spliced from 3 exons.